RNAcentral lists this ribosomal RNA (738 nucleotides) under Triticum aestivum (bread wheat). RNAcentral describes it as "partial small subunit ribosomal RNA". The record is from RNAcentral. Lineage: Eukaryota; Viridiplantae; Streptophyta; Magnoliopsida; Poales; Poaceae.
AUCUCGCCCUCGUCAUCAGUUCUGUAUCGCCGUCGUCGUGGCCACGGUAAAGCCGCCGUCCCCGCCGCGGAUCCCCUCCGGAAUACCCCGCCGAUCGCCGCCGCAGGCCGGUUUCAACCCCAGGGGUGGUGGACGUACGACGCGGAGGCGUCCCAGGUGCCACUGUACAGGGAGCCGGUGUGCGAGUUCCUGACGGAGCAGGUGACCUGCAUGCGCAACGGCCGGCGCGACGACUCGUACCAGCGGUGGCGCUGGCAGCCUUCCUCCUGCGACCUCCCCAGGUUCAACGCGCGGUUGCUGCUGGAGCGGCUGCGGAACAAGAGGCUGAUGUUCGUGGGGGACUCGCUGAAGUCGAUGUUGUGCCUGGUGUCGGUCGGCGAUCCCGUCGCGCGGCCAAAAGUCCCUGGCCAAGUUCGUGGGGCCCAACGGCUCUCUCAAUGUGUUCAUGGCGGCGGAUUACAACGCGACGGUGGAGUUCUACUGGGAGCUCCAACUCGGACGACCCGCAGGCGCACGUGCUGGACCCGUCAUCGCCUGGCGGUCCAUUCCCAAGCACGCCCGGCACUGUUGAGCCGCCCACUUCCUCGUCUUCAACGAGAUGAAAGUGUUGAAGAAUCCUCGGGCGUUGCCGGACAAGUACACGAGUGCAAGCACAACGUAACAUAUUUGGGCAAACCGGCCAUUCUACGUGUUUGGUCUUGGAUCGGCAAGCUACAUCAACGGUGUCAGGUUCUCUAG